Molecule: ribosomal RNA, 253 nt
Filed under: uncultured bacterium
Lineage: Bacteria
Description: partial 16S ribosomal RNA
Rfam family: Bacterial small subunit ribosomal RNA
Source: RNAcentral
UACAGAGGGGGCAAGCGUUGUUCGGAAUUACUGGGCGUAAAGGGCGCGUAGGCGGCCUGUUAAGUCGAACGUGAAAUCCCCGGGCUCAACCCGGGAACUGCGUCCGAUACUGGCAGGCUUGAAUCCGGGAGAGGAAUGCGGAAUUCCAGGUGUAGCGGUGAAAUGCGUAGAUAUCUGGAGGAACACCGGUGGCGAAGGCGGCAUUCUGGACUACAACUGACACUGAGGAACGAAAGCCAGGGGAGCAAACGGG